This 710-nucleotide ribosomal RNA is filed under the name Candida tropicalis. Its description in RNAcentral is "partial large subunit ribosomal RNA". It matches the Rfam family "Eukaryotic large subunit ribosomal RNA", at positions 137 to 866 of the family's 3401-position model. Lineage: Eukaryota; Fungi; Ascomycota; Pichiomycetes; Serinales; Debaryomycetaceae. The record is from RNAcentral.
UCCGAGUUGUAAUUUGAAGAAGGUAUCUUUGGGUCUGGCUCUUGUCUAUGUUUCUUGGAACAGAACGUCACAGAGGGUGAGAAUCCCGUGCGAUGAGAUGAUCCAGGCCUAUGUAAAGUUCCUUCGAAGAGUCGAGUUGUUUGGGAAUGCAGCUCUAAGUGGGUGGUAAAUUCCAUCUAAAGCUAAAUAUUGGCGAGAGACCGAUAGCGAACAAGUACAGUGAUGGAAAGAUGAAAAGAACUUUGAAAAGAGAGUGAAAAAGUACGUGAAAUUGUUGAAAGGGAAGGGCUUGAGAUCAGACUUGGUAUUUUGUAUGUUACUUCUUCGGGGGUGGCCUCUACAGUUUAUCGGGCCAGCAUCAGUUUGGGCGGUAGGAGAAUUGCGUUGGAAUGUGGCACGGCUUCGGUUGUGUGUUAUAGCCUUCGUCGAUACUGCCAGCCUAGACUGAGGACUGCGGUUUAUACCUAGGAUGUUGGCAUAAUGAUCUUAAGUCGCCCGUCUUGAAACACGGACCAAGGAGUCUAACGUCUAUGCGAGUGUUUGGGUGUAAAACCCGUACGCGUAAUGAAAGUGAACGUAGGUGGGGGCCCGUAUGGGUGCACCAUCGACCGAUCCUGAUGUCUUCGGAUGGAUUUGAGUAAGAGCAUAGCUGUUGGGACCCGAAAGAUGGUGAACUAUGCCUGAAUAGGGUGAAGCCAGAGGAAACUCUG